GAUGAACGCUGGCGGCGUGCCUAAUACAUGCAAGUCGAGCGAACGGACGAGAAGCUUGCUUCUCUGAUGUUAGCGGCGGGCGGGUGAGUAACACGUGGAUAACCUACCUAUAAGACUGGGAUAACUUCGGGAAACCGGAGCUAAUACCGGAUAAUAUUUUGAACCGCAUGGUUCAAAAGUGAAAGACGGUCUUGCUGUCACUUAUAGAUGGAUCCGCGCUGCAUUAGCUAGUUGGUAAGGUAACGGCUUACCAAGGCAACGAUGCAUAGCCGACCUGAGAGGGUGAUCGGCUACACUGGAACUGAGACACGGUCCAGACUCCUACGGGAGGCAGCAGUAGGGAAUCUUCCGCAAUGGGCGAAAGCCUGACGGAGCAACGCCGCGUGAGUGAUGAAGGUCUUCGGAUCGUAAAACUCUGUUAUUAGGGAAGAACAUAUGUGUAAGUAACUGUGCACAUCUUGACGGUACCUAAUCAGAAAGCCACGGCUAACUACGUG
RNAcentral lists this ribosomal RNA (497 nucleotides) under uncultured bacterium. RNAcentral describes it as "partial 16S ribosomal RNA". It matches the Rfam family "Bacterial small subunit ribosomal RNA", at positions 28 to 507 of the family's 1533-position model. The record is from RNAcentral.